Molecule: ribosomal RNA, 775 nt
Filed under: uncultured Neocallimastigales
Lineage: Eukaryota; Fungi; Neocallimastigomycota; Neocallimastigomycetes; Neocallimastigales
Description: partial large subunit ribosomal RNA
Rfam family: Eukaryotic large subunit ribosomal RNA
Source: RNAcentral
ACACUGACGUCGCGACGCAUAUCAAUAAGCGGAGGAAAAGAAACUAACUAGGAUUCCCUUAGUAACGGCGAGUGAAGCGGGAAGAGCUCAAAUUUGAAAUCUUCAAGGUUCUACCUUGACGAAUUGUAGUUUAUAGAAGUGUUUUCUGUUAGUAGAGUGGCAAAAGUUCUUUGGAAUAGGACAUCAUAGAGGGUGAGAAUCCCGUAUUUGGUCAUUCCUCUCUAGCUUUGUGAUACACUUUCAACGAGUCGGAUUGUUUGGGAAUGCAGUCCAAAAUGGGUGGUAAAUUUCAUCUAAAGCUAAAUAUUGGCGAGAGACCGAUAGCGAACAAGUACCGUGAGGGAAAGAUGAGAAGAACUUUGAAAAGAGAGUUAAACAGUACGUGAAAUUGUCAAAAGGGAAGCGUUUGACACCAGUGUUGUUUUUCUGAAAAUCAAUUAAAGAACUGUUUAUGCUAAGUUGUUUAGACUUUAUCAGCUAACUGUUUAGUUUUGAGCUUUUCUUUAAUGCACUUUUCAGUUAACAAGUCAACAUCAAUUUCUUUUGCUGUAAAAAAGCUUGAGGAAGGUGGCUUGAGAUUCGUCUUAAGUGUUUAUAGCCUCUUGCCUAUGCAGUCGGAGAGAUUGAGGUCUGCAGCGUAGAUCCUUCGGGGCUAAAUGCAUUUGUGCUAAGUUAUAGCAUUUUAUAGACAACUUGUUGACUAUGAUUUGUCUUGUAGCUUACUCGCUUAUGCUAUUUUACCUACGCUUAGGAUGUUGACGCAUGAGAUAUACGC